This is a non-coding RNA of Aegilops tauschii subsp. strangulata, 1967 nucleotides long. The record is from RefSeq and is a predicted model, not a curated record. Lineage: Eukaryota; Viridiplantae; Streptophyta; Magnoliopsida; Poales; Poaceae.
CGCUCGCGCUCGCGCCGCCCACCUCCCCUCCCGUUCCUCCAGCCUCGCCUCCCUCUCCCUCCAAACCCUAGAACAGCGCCUGCCUCCUUGCCCCGCCGCCAUCAUCUCCUUCGUCGAGCCGACGACCCAUGGCGCGCCCGUCUGCUCCGCCCGCGCUCGCGUCGCCCCCUCUCCUCUUCCUCGCGCCUCGCCUCUCUCUCCCUCCUAACCCUAACCCACUCCCGCCUCCCUGCCCCGCCGCCGGCCGCCGCCGCUCGCCUGGGCACCCAUCCUCGACCUCAAGCUGGGCCAGGCGACGGCCAUGGCGUGGAUCUCUUGCCCCUCUCUUCGUGCUCUUUUCCCUCGAUCUGUCGGGACCACCCUCCUCCUCCGCGUCCUCUCGUUCUCCUCUCCGGCGGUCGGCGACGAGGCGUCGGAACUGACGGAGCAGCGGGGCCGUCGAGCGAGGGCACGAGCAGGGUACAGACCCUAGCCGUGCGUGUGCAUAAGGUCGAGCACGACAGCGAUGAUGGGCGCCGUCGCCAUCGGCCGGAGUAGCACAUGCUCACGCCGCUGCUCCGUAGGGUUCAUCAUCGUGUUGCCAUCGUCCUUGUUUUUUGCGUGCACGCAGGAAACCAACAGUCUUCAAUGUAGUGAGAGCUGGAUGUGUUGUCCGCCAGCUGAGCGGCAAGCCGUUGAUGCAAGUCGUUGUACAUGGUGCUGCUAUUCAGAAAUUCUAGCUAGGGCAUGAAACAGAAGAAAGCUUGAGACAAUCAUCAUGUGCCUGCUCAAAGGCUUGGUUAACAAAGGUGACAAUAAGAUGUGUGGACAACUAAUUGCCAGGUGGCUAACUUGAUGGUUUUAUUGCUGUUGCAUAUGUGUGAGAUUUCUUUCCUCACUACCCAUGCUGACAUAAAUAUUCUGUUGUUCUAUUUCAGAUUACACGAUCUGCUUUCUUAUAUUCUCUGUGCACAAAUUAUUUACUUCCUUGAGCUAUGAUUUUAGACUGUCAAUAGUUGAUCAAUGUGGAGGUAAGAAAGAUUGUUUGAUGCGUUUAGCUAUAUCAGUUCAUGAGUAUUUGCAGCUAUGUACACUCAGGUGAUCAUUCAUUGAUUCACCCAUUUCUUUCUCCUUACAAUUAAUUCUCUAAAUCUUGAGUCCAUUGAUUGAUUUGUUUCCAUGAGUUACUAUGAGGUAUUGUGUGUGAAGGAUCUUACUGCCAUAGUUUUGUGUAUGACACCAAAUAAAGUUCACGGCCUUAAAUGGAGGGUUAAUUAAAGUGGUCCCAUGUUACUUAAAUUCAUAUUUGAUAUCUUAUGGUAUGUUGCUUCAGCAAUUGUGUCAUUUGCUUAAUUGGCAGAUCCGGCCAAGGGUGAUUAAGGCGCCAAUCACAUUUUCAUGCAUCCUGAGCGAGGAGGAGCGGUGGAUCACUCUCGUGAUGUUGGCCAUGUUGGAUGCAACCGGCGAUCUGCUCGCGGAAGAUGAGCUGCACUGGAUGUGGAGCUGCGCUGGAGCAGCGGAGCGGCGGAUUUGCGGCGGCGCCGUCGUCCUCAUGUUGUCAUCAUCCUCACGAGUCCACACAUGGAGAAGGAGCAGCCGCCAUGGAGUACUCCAGGAGCGGAUCAUGCCCAACAGGACCACGCCCAGGACAUGGCCGUGGAUCAAACUGCUGCACCCUGGGGCUGGUGCUUGUGAUGUGCGACGAGGAGAAGCGAUUUGAAAUCCUGGGAGCAAAGGAGGAAGACGACGAUGGGGAUAGCGAUUCAAAACAGGGAUAGCGAUGUAAAUUCCUUUGUUUUCACCUGGUUGUAACGUUUUCUUCAACAACAUAUUUUGGAACGGAGGGAGUAGUUUUAUGCCGGUAUUGAGCACCAUUAUGUCUCGCUCCUAUCACAAUUUAAUAUUUCUCCUUCAUUGUAUUGUUAUCAUAUAUGAAUACACAUGAUAAACCUGGAUUACUAUCGACUAAGCAUUCCCUGCUUGAUCAA